RNAcentral lists this ribosomal RNA (439 nucleotides) under uncultured bacterium. RNAcentral's name for it is "partial 16S ribosomal RNA". It matches the Rfam family "Bacterial small subunit ribosomal RNA", at positions 339 to 795 of the family's 1533-position model. The record is from RNAcentral.
CUACGGGCCGCACCAGUGGGGGAUAUUGCACAAUGGGCGAAAGCCUGAUGCAGCAACGCCGCGUGAAGGAAGACGGUUUUCGGAUUGUAAACUUCUAUCAGCAGGGAAGAAAAUGACUGUACCUGACUAAGAAGCCCCGGCUAACUACGUGCCAGCAGCCGCGGUAAUACGUAGGAGGCAAGCGUUAUCCGGAAUUACUGGGUGUAAAGGGUACGUAGGCGGCUGAUCAAGUCAGAUGUGAAAGCCCGGAGCUCAACUCCGGGACUGCAUUUGAAACUGGUCGGCUAGAGUGCAGGAGAGGAAAGUGGAAUUCCUAGUGUAGCGGUGAAAUGCGUAGAUAUUAGGAAGAACACCAGUGGCGAAGGCGGCUUUCUGGACUGUAACUGACGCUGAGGUACGAAAGCGUGGGGAGCGAACAGGAUUAGAUACCCGUGUAGUC